RNAcentral lists this long non-coding RNA (349 nucleotides) under Capsicum annuum. RNAcentral's name for it is "long non-coding RNA (CANN_LNC000040)". Lineage: Eukaryota; Viridiplantae; Streptophyta; Magnoliopsida; Solanales; Solanaceae. The record is from RNAcentral.
AAUAAUGUUCAGUCCAAAUUAUACAAUCCAAGAUAAAAGAGGUGCUGAAAUAUGAAACCUAUUCUAUUCUAAAUUAAUCCUAAAUUAAACUCCAUCCGACGUUUCGGGCCUUGAUCACGAGCCUCCUUUGCGUACAUGCUACUUCGGGGCAUUCCCUGGAUAAAUCAAUACAAAUCCUUCGGGGCAUUCCUCGGCCAAAUGAGUACAAUUUAAACUUUUCGUGCAAUAAAGUAGAAAGUACCAUUCACGCACAUAUUCAAACACUCCAACAAAUCGUUAUUCAUAAAUUUGCCUACCCGGCCUACAUUUGCCUACCAAGUUCCACGUAUCACAAUUCUAUCAUGUUCAA